Molecule: ribosomal RNA, 440 nt
Filed under: uncultured bacterium
Lineage: Bacteria
Description: partial 16S ribosomal RNA
Rfam family: Bacterial small subunit ribosomal RNA
Source: RNAcentral
CCUACGGGGGGCAGCAGUGGGGGAUAUUGCACAAUGGGGGAAACCCUGAUGCAGCGACGCCGCGUGUGGGAAGACGGUCCUCUGGAUUGUAAACCACUGUCCCCAGGGACGAAGAUGACGGUACCUGGGGAGGAAGCUCCGGCUAACUACGUGCCAGCAGCCGCGGUAAUACGUAGGGAGCGAGCGUUGUCCGGAAUUACUGGGUGUAAAGGGUGCGUAGGCGGGCUGUUAAGUCAGCGGUAAAAGCCCGGGGCUCAACCCCGGCGAGCCGUUGAAACUGGCUGUCUUGAGAUGUCGAGAGGUAUGCGGAAUGCGCGGUGUAGCGGUGAAAUGCUUAGAUAUUGCGCAGAACUCCGAGUGCGAAGGCAGCAUACCGGCGGCGAUCUGACGCUGAGGCACGAAAGCGUGGGUAUCGAACAGGAUUAGAUACCCCGGUAGUC